This 68-nucleotide transfer RNA is filed under the name Dipodomys ordii (Ord's kangaroo rat). It matches the Rfam family "tRNA". From Rfam's summary of the family: Transfer RNA (tRNA) molecules are approximately 80 nucleotides in length. Their secondary structure includes four short double-helical elements and three loops (D, anti-codon, and T loops). The record is from Rfam by way of RNAcentral. Lineage: Eukaryota; Metazoa; Chordata; Mammalia; Rodentia; Heteromyidae.
AUGUGGCUUAGUUGUAAAGUGCAUGCCUAGCAUGCAUGAAGCCCUGGGUUUGAUUCCUAGUUACCAUA